RNAcentral lists this microRNA precursor (71 nucleotides) under Nicotiana sylvestris (wood tobacco). RNAcentral describes it as "MIR6151 microRNA precursor family". It matches the Rfam family "MIR6151 microRNA precursor family". The record is from Rfam by way of RNAcentral. Lineage: Eukaryota; Viridiplantae; Streptophyta; Magnoliopsida; Solanales; Solanaceae.
AUUCAUUGGCUGAGUGUGAGGCGUUGUAUUGAUUUCACUCAAUCCAAGCCCCAUAUUCAUCAUAGGUUCAU